RNAcentral lists this unclassified non-coding RNA (146 nucleotides) under uncultured Helotiales. RNAcentral describes it as "sequence contains ITS2". Lineage: Eukaryota; Fungi; Ascomycota; Leotiomycetes; Helotiales. The record is from RNAcentral.
CAACCCUCAAGCACUGCUUGGUCUUGGGCUCCGCUGGGUGACCAGCGCGCCUUAAAAUCAGUGGCGGCGCCGUCGGGCUCUGAGCGUAGUAAACAUCCUCGCUACAGGGACCCGGUGGACGCUGGCCAGCAACCCCAACUCUCUAA